CGGGGUGUGGCCUAGCCUGGUUCAAGGCACCUGUCUGGGGGACAGGAGAUUCGUGGGUUCAAAUCCCACCACCCCGA
Molecule: transfer RNA, 77 nt
Filed under: Chloroflexota bacterium
Lineage: Bacteria; Bacillati; Chloroflexota
Description: tRNA-Pro
Rfam family: tRNA
About the family: Transfer RNA (tRNA) molecules are approximately 80 nucleotides in length. Their secondary structure includes four short double-helical elements and three loops (D, anti-codon, and T loops). Further hydrogen bonds mediate the characteristic L-shaped molecular structure. tRNAs have two regions of fundamental functional importance: the anti-codon, which is responsible for specific mRNA codon recognition, and the 3' end, to which the tRNAs corresponding amino acid is attached (by aminoacyl-tRNA synthetases). tRNAs cope with the degeneracy of the genetic code in two manners: having more than one tRNA (with a specific anti-codon) for a particular amino acid; and 'wobble' base-pairing, i.e. permitting non-standard base-pairing at the 3rd anti-codon position.
Source: RNAcentral